AAAAUUUACUUGUUUAAAUAUUGGUAUUGCAUACUAUUACAAUAAAAUUUCAUGUUAAUGAAAAAUAGAAACAAAGGGUAGAGUAAAUAUUAGUUUUAUUGUUUCAUACUAAAAAUUAUAUUUAUUAGAGUUGAUAUGUCGACCUUUGUGAUAACUGUUUUUAUUCUUAUAUUAGAAAAUUAUAUAUUAUAUAAUUAUUUUAGGAAAUUUAAAAUUUGAAGUGUUUUAAAUAUAUGUUUUACAACAUUUUCCUAAUUUUAUUUAAGUUUAAUUUUUAAUUUAAUAAAGUUUUAUUAAAUAAAUAAUUUGUAAAUUAGUAAAUUUUAUAAAUUUAAUUUAUUAUUAAAAUAUAAUUGAAGAACUUGAAGUCUUGAUCAAAUGUUUUUUAAAGACUUAGGCUUUACAUUAAAGCUGGCUUCUGCCCUAUGAUAUUUAAAUGGCAGUCUUAGCGUGAGGACAUUAAGGUAGCAAAAUAAUUUGUGCUUUUAUUGAGUUCCAGUAUGAAUGAAGUUAUUGGUUAGUUCUAUUUAUGUUUUAUGUUUGUAUUUAAUUUUUAUUUAAGAAAAAAUAAAUAUAUUUAUACAAAGAUAAGUCUUCGGAAAUUCUGUUAUUACACAAUUAAAUAAUUGUGUAAUAAAUUUUCUAGGGCAGAAUAUUAUAUAAUAGUAUUUCACUAUAUUUAAUUUAAAGAAUUACUCCGGA
This 702-nucleotide ribosomal RNA is filed under the name Caenorhabditis elegans. Its description in RNAcentral is "partial 16S ribosomal RNA". The record is from RNAcentral. Lineage: Eukaryota; Metazoa; Nematoda; Chromadorea; Rhabditida; Rhabditidae.